AAUAAAAUGGCUGAGGAUUAAGCACUAGAUUGUAAAUCUAGUUACGAAUUAUUAAAUUCUUUUAUUA
This 67-nucleotide transfer RNA is filed under the name Pagurus maculosus. RNAcentral's name for it is "tRNA-Tyr". It matches the Rfam family "tRNA". Rfam says of the family: Transfer RNA (tRNA) molecules are approximately 80 nucleotides in length. Their secondary structure includes four short double-helical elements and three loops (D, anti-codon, and T loops). The record is from RNAcentral. Lineage: Eukaryota; Metazoa; Arthropoda; Malacostraca; Decapoda; Paguridae.